UGGGGAAUAUUGGACAAUGGGCGCAAGCCUGAUCCAGCAAUGCCGCGUGUGUGAAGAAGGCCUGCGGGUUGUAAAGCACUUUGAGCGGGGAGGAAGGCCCGCGGGAUAACACCCCGCGGGAUUGACGUUACCCGCAGAACAAGCACCGGCUAACUCCGUGCCAGCAGCCGCGGUAAUACGGAGGGUGCGAGCGUUAAUCGGAAUUACUGGGCGUAAAGCGCGCGUAGGCGGCCCGGUCAGUCCGGCGUGAAAGCCCUGGGCUCAACCUGGGAACUGCGCCGGAUACUGCCGGGCUGGAGUGUGGGAGAGGGUAGUGGAAUUUCCGGUGUAGCAGUGAAAUGCGUAGAGAUCGGAAGGAACACCAGUGGCGAAGGCGGCUACCUGGACCAACACUGACGCUGAGGUGCGAAAGCGUGGGGAGCAAACA
This 427-nucleotide ribosomal RNA is filed under the name uncultured Methylococcus sp. Its description in RNAcentral is "partial 16S ribosomal RNA". It matches the Rfam family "Bacterial small subunit ribosomal RNA", at positions 355 to 774 of the family's 1533-position model. Lineage: Bacteria; Pseudomonadati; Pseudomonadota; Gammaproteobacteria; Methylococcales; Methylococcaceae. The record is from RNAcentral.